This 245-nucleotide ribosomal RNA is filed under the name uncultured Desulfitibacter sp. RNAcentral describes it as "partial 16S ribosomal RNA". It matches the Rfam family "Bacterial small subunit ribosomal RNA", at positions 524 to 768 of the family's 1533-position model. Lineage: Bacteria; Bacillati; Bacillota; Clostridia; Neomoorellales; Desulfitibacteraceae. The record is from RNAcentral.
UACGUAGGUGGCAAGCGUUGUCCGGAAUUACUGGGCGUAAAGGGCGUGUAGGUGGUAUACCAAGUCAGUUGUGAAAGUCUGCGGCUCAACCGCAGGAAUGCAAAUGAAACUGGUAGACUUGAGGGCAAGAGAGGAAAGUGGAAUUCCUAGUGUAGCGGUGAAAUGCGUAGAUAUUAGGAGGAACACCAGUGGCGAAGGCGACUUUCUGGAUUGGCCCUGACACUGAGGCGCGAAAGCGUGGGGAG